This 65-nucleotide transfer RNA is filed under the name Poecilimon cretensis. Its description in RNAcentral is "tRNA-Pro". Lineage: Eukaryota; Metazoa; Arthropoda; Insecta; Orthoptera; Tettigoniidae. The record is from RNAcentral.
CAGAGGGUAGUUUAUAAAAAAUAUUAAUUUUGGGGAUUAAUGAAAAGGAGCUUCUUUUCCUCUGA